UGUAGGUUCGGUAUUGAUCCACUCUCCGCAUUCGAGCGACCUUUAAUGUUCCCCUUUCCUCUCGGUCACCCCUCUCACAUCCCACAUUCCACACUUCUGCGCUCUGCUCUCGGUCGGUCUUCUCUCUAGGCCAAAAGAGGAUGGCGACGGGUGGUAAGAGGGGAAGUUGGCACUCUGAGAGAACAGAAAGAGAGGGAGAGAGAAGGAAAAAGAGAGAGAGAGAGAGAGAGAGACAGAUAGACAGACAGACAGACAGACAGAUGGACUAAACCAAGAGAUAAAUCCUAGCACGACCUACAACAAUGCUUGGAGAGUUUGUGUGCAGCUGAUUUCACAACCGGCCGGCCGGCCAUUCCGCUAAACGGAAUUCCAGCGUUCUCCGGAAGCUACGUCACACGUAACUCGGACUCACACGACAAAAAAAGAGAAACCUGAAAACAUCCACGAUUUUUACCAUACGAAAGAUUAACGAAAAAUUAAAUUCGUGUAUUCGAUCAAAUUAAUUCUAUUGAAUAAUAACAACAACAACAACAACAACAACAACAACAACAACAACAACAACAACAACAACAACAAUAAUUAUUAUUAUUAUUAUUAUUAUUAAUUAUUAAUAAAAAAAGAGAGGAAAAAAGAAAAACGAAGGAAAGGAAUAAAGGGAGGGGGGUGAAAUAAAAUUAAAAAAAAAGGAAGGAAAAAAAAAUAGAUGAUCAGAAUUGAAACAGCGAAACGAUGGAACGCAAAACGUGCGGUGCGCAAUCUGGCGGGACGAGAUGAGACGAGAGUCAUGUUGAAAAGGGAGUAAAGGGAGGAAGGAAGGAAGGAAGGAAGGAAGGAAAGGUUAGGGUGGGGGGGUUGGCUCACUUCGGUCGCUGUCGCGAGGCGAGUUUAUUCCGCGACGCGGGCACUUGGUAGCCGAACGGUGAUCGCACGAGACGUAUCUGACGGUAUACUCUCGGAGAGAAGAAGAUUUAACGGAGAAAGAGAUAGAGAGAGAGAGAGAGAGAAAGAGAGAGAAAGGAAACGACCGAACCGAAUAAUCAUCAAGCAAAACUUGCGUUGCAGCAUCUAUACCACUGCACAACCUACGUACUACCUAUCGACGGAUUCUUUCGUCUUAUCUUCUCUUCUUGCCUCUACCAAUAAAG
Molecule: long non-coding RNA, 1145 nt
Organism: Vespa velutina
Lineage: Eukaryota; Metazoa; Arthropoda; Insecta; Hymenoptera; Vespidae
Exons: 2
Source: RefSeq, a predicted model, not a curated record